AGAGUUUGAUCAUGGCUCAGGAUGAACGCUAGCGGCAGGCUUAACACAUGCAAGUCGAGGGGUAUAGUAGCAAUACUAGAGACCGGCGCACGGGUGCGUAACGCGUAUGCAACCUACCUUUUACAGAGGGAUAGCCCAGAGAAAUUUGGAUUAAUACCUCAUAGUGUUAUUAGAUGGCAUCAUUUGAUAACUAAAGUUCCAACGGUAAAAGAUGGGCAUGCGUCCUAUUAGCUAGAUGGUAAGGUAACGGCUUACCAUGGCUACGAUAGGUAGGGGUCCUGAGAGGGAGAUCCCCCACACUGGUACUGAGACACGGACCAGACUCCUACGGGAGGCAGCAGUGAGGAAUAUUGGACAAUGGGCGCAAGCCUGAUCCAGCCAUGCCGCGUGCAGGAAGAAGCAUCUAUGGUGUGUAAACUGCUUUUGUACGGGAAGAAACACUCCUACGUGUAGGGGCUUGACGGUACCGUAAGAAUAAGGAUCGGCUAACUCCGUG
Molecule: ribosomal RNA, 496 nt
Filed under: uncultured bacterium
Lineage: Bacteria
Description: bacterial SSU rRNA
Rfam family: Bacterial small subunit ribosomal RNA
Source: RNAcentral